Molecule: ribosomal RNA, 253 nt
Filed under: uncultured bacterium
Lineage: Bacteria
Description: partial 16S ribosomal RNA
Rfam family: Bacterial small subunit ribosomal RNA
Source: RNAcentral
UACGUAGGGUGCAAGCGUUGUCCGGAAUUAUUGGGCGUAAAGAGCUUGUAGGCGGUUUGUCGCGUCUGCUGUGAAAUUUCGGGGCUCAACCCCGAACUUGCAGUGGGUACGGGCAGACUAGAGUGUGGUAGGGGAGACUGGAAUUCCUGGUGUAGCGGUGAAAUGCGUAGAUAUCGUAAGGAAGACCAGUGGCGAAGGCGAGUCUCUGGACAGCAACUGACGCUGAGGCACGAAGGCCAGGGGAGCAAACGGG